GAAAUGCGAUACGUAGUGUGAAUUGCAGAAUUCAGUGAAUCAUCGAAUCUUUGAACGCACAUUGCGCCCUUUGGUAUUCCAAAGGGCAUGCCUGUUCGAGCGUCAUUUGUACCCUCAAGCUUUGCUUGGUGUUGGGCGUUUUUUGUCUUUGGCUCGCCCAAAGACUCGCCUUAAAACGAUUGGCAGCCGGCCUACUGGUUUCGCAGCGCAGCACAUUUUUGCGCUUGCAAUCAGCAAAAGAGGACGGCAAUCCAUCAAGACUCCUUCUCACGUUUGACCUCGGAUCAGGUAGGGAUACCCGCUGAACAUAAGC
This 313-nucleotide unclassified non-coding RNA is filed under the name plant metagenome. RNAcentral's name for it is "partial contains 5.8S ribosomal RNA, internal transcribed spacer 2, and large subunit ribosomal RNA". The stretch from base 1 to 105 matches the Rfam family "5.8S ribosomal RNA", at positions 50 to 154 of the family's 154-position model. The record is from RNAcentral.